UUUAAAGUUAAAUCAGCUGCAUCUUGUUUGGAACAGCUUUGAGAAUUUCAAAAUUGGAAUGGCAUGUCCGAGUCACUGUAGAACCAGGUUUUCGGGGAGCGGUGGGGAAGACAGAUGACACCCCUGUCUUCAAUCAUCAUGCACUGGGAGAUCAGCCGCCAGUUGGCCACCCCUUUCUGCUUUCCCAUGAGACAAGCCCUUGGGACGACUAUCAUCCAUGCCACAGUGGCCUGGAGAAAACUGCUGCCGGUGGGGUGGUGGGCAAAUCUGGCACACGCCUGAGGGCCAGGGUGGGACCAGGGCCUCCAUGAGACUCCAUUAGGAAGGUGCUCACAGCACCCAGGCCCUGACGCU
RNAcentral lists this long non-coding RNA (354 nucleotides) under Marmota monax (woodchuck). The record is from RNAcentral. Lineage: Eukaryota; Metazoa; Chordata; Mammalia; Rodentia; Sciuridae.